Molecule: long non-coding RNA, 2017 nt
Organism: Papaver somniferum (opium poppy)
Lineage: Eukaryota; Viridiplantae; Streptophyta; Magnoliopsida; Ranunculales; Papaveraceae
Exons: 2
Source: RefSeq, a predicted model, not a curated record
ACUAUUCUUCCCUUUUUCUUUCUCUUUAACUUCUGGUGAAUCAGCGAUUGAAGGAAACAAAUCACUAAACGUUAGUUGAUUUAGAUCCUUGAAUUUAAGUAACGUGGAGUUUCAAGGACAAGUCUGCAAAUGGUUCUUUUGCUGUGGAAUGAGCGAUUACGGCAGGGGUUUUUCUUUCCCUUAAAUUUCUUGUUUUACUUGUGCAAAUCAAACUGAUUUUGGUUAAGCUCGUCAUUUUCUGUUUUGCCUGAUUUAUGAAAUUUAUUAAAUGGGUGUUUAGUAAAUAUGCCGAGGGAGUAGGAUUGGGUGUUUUCUAACAAAUUUUUGUUUAAUUUCAGGCUACAGAUUUUGUAGUUUGUGAAUUCAUUUUUCCUAUAAAAUGACUGAACUUUAUUUUCUUUGAAAUCCCACCCUUUUUCCAUAAUAACCCUUGGUUAUUGAACUGUGUACGGUCUGAAUGGUUUAGAUGAUGUUUCCCUUUGAUAAAUAAGAAAUGAUUUGUAUCCAUGCAAGUGCUAGUUUUUCUUCAUAAGCCAAGAUUUGUAUUGAAUUUUUAAAUUUGCCCUCUUUCUGUUUGUUAAAAUGAUUCAAUGAAUUUCGAAUUUAAACCCCAUCGAUAGCCGAUAAUUUGAGACUCAUUUACUGGAUUUGUUUUGUAGUUUUGUAACCUCCUUCCCACCCUGAAACUUUAAGAUUCCAAGCCAUGGAUUUGUCUUGUAUCACUAGCUUGAUAUUUUAAAAUCCAUUUUGUUCUAUUCAACAUAAAAGAAAUGAACGGCCUCAUAAAAAGACCCAUUGCUUUACCGAUUAGUUCAUGCUCCUUAAUUUUGGUUACUUGCUUUAAACCUUGAAUUUGAAUUUUGGUUAGUUGAAAUGUUUUGAAGUCAGAAAGUCCACUUUCAGUUUUAGCCUCCUAUCUAUUUCGGACACUACACUAAAUAUCAUUUUUACAAUUUCGUUUUUCUGAUACAAAUGAACUUUAACUGGUUGGGAAUUUGGUUUUAAAUUUGCUGAUCAACAAGUUUGUUUCACUUCUUUACGGAGUUCUCUUUGAUUCACUUACAGCCACUUGAGUAUGUUUUUCCCAUGCCAUUUCACUGAUGACUCUCCCUCUCUCGGCAAUUAGGACACAUUUUACUUUUUGGUCUUCUGUUUUGAUGGGAACUUUUCGUACUCUUGUGAGAAUUAUGAUGAUUGUUCACAUACUGGUUUGGUAGACUUCAGUACUGGUCAUUCUCAGCAGUUUGAAUUCUUUCUAUUGAUCAUGAAUUUUAAUAUCAUACUUGUGGUAAGUGAUUCUCGUUCUCUUGCUAAGUUCUCAUGCAAUUGCUGCCAAUACUUGUAUUUGUAAGUUUUGGUUAUGGAUUCAUAACGUGCUUUGUGGAUGUUUCCUUCCUGACAACUAUAUUUGGAAACUAGAGAACUCUAUUUUAGGAACGUCGGGGCUAAGUGGCACCCCACCAACUCGGUGGCUACCCGGAAGAUCGUUGCGGCAACGAUGGCUGGUAACCAGAACUACCCUGACGGUGGCACUGGCCAUGAAAGAAUAGAGCAAUUUUAUUUGAAUUUAAAUGAAUGGCAGCUUACAAUUGUUUGUGAACAAAUGCUUUACAUUUAUUUAUGGAUUCCAGAUUUAUAGUUUUAUGCUUUAUUGAUGCUUUAACCUUUGGCAUUUUAUUUGUAUAUCUCGUAACGUUCGAUUGUCGUUAUAACUCCUACUGGGCUGUGGGCUCACCCCGUUUUGUUUUGUUUUUCCACAGAGUACGAAGAGAGAUUGAAGCAGUAAGCUUGAGAAUAACUUACGACAUGAAGCGUUUGAGCAAAAGUGGUAUUUUUCUCUCAUCUCUUAUAUGUAUAUCACGGGGAUAUCUGGGUAGUCUUAAGUUUCCUUUGGCUCAUGUUUUUGUCAUAUUUAUGUUAUGUAGAUAACACUGGGAUUUCGUGCAAAGUUUAUAUUUAUGUUAUGUAGAUAACACUGGGAUUUCGUGCAAAGUUUAUCCGUCGUAGAGGGGUCGAA